Molecule: ribosomal RNA, 497 nt
Filed under: uncultured bacterium
Lineage: Bacteria
Description: partial 16S ribosomal RNA
Rfam family: Bacterial small subunit ribosomal RNA
Source: RNAcentral
GAUGAACGCUGGCGGCGUGCCUAAUACAUGCAAGUCGAGCGAACAGACGAGGAGCUUGCUCCUCUGACGUUAGCGGCGGACGGGUGAGUAACACGUGGAUAACCUACCUAUAAGACUGGGAUAACUUCGGGAAACCGGAGCUAAUACCGGAUAAUAUAUUGAACCGCAUGGUUCAAUAGUGAAGGACGGUUUUGCUGUCACUUAUAGAUGGAUCCGCGCCGCAUUAGCUAGUUGGUAAGGUAACGGCUUACCAAGGCGACGAUGCGUAGCCGACCUGAGAGGGUGAUCGGCCACACUGGAACUGAGACACGGUCCAGACUCCUACGGGAGGCAGCAGUAGGGAAUCGUCCGCAAUGGGCGAAAGCCUGACGGAGCAACGCCGCGUGAGUGAUGAAGGUCUUCGGAUCGUAAAACUCUGUUAUUAGGGAAGAACAAAUGUGUAAGUAACUGUGCACGUCUUGACGGUACCUAAUCAGAAAGCCACGGCUAACUACGUG